Molecule: long non-coding RNA, 1371 nt
Organism: Oncorhynchus keta (chum salmon)
Lineage: Eukaryota; Metazoa; Chordata; Actinopteri; Salmoniformes; Salmonidae
Exons: 3
Source: RefSeq, a predicted model, not a curated record
GUUACUGACAGGUAGGAGGACAGAGUCUAAUGGCUACUGACAGGUAGGAGGACAGAGUCUAAUGGUUACUGACAGGUAGGAGGACAGAGUCUAAUGGUUACUGACAGGUAGGAGGACAGAGUCUAAUGGCUACUGACAGGUAGGAGGACAGAGUCUAAUGGUUACUGACAGGUAGGAGGACAGAGUCUAAUGGUUACUGACAGGUAGGAGGACAGACUAACGGUUACUGACAGGUAGGAGGACAGAGUCUAAUGGUUACUGACAGGUAGGAGGACAGAGUCUAAUGGUUACUGACAGGUAGGAGGACAGAGUCUAAUGGUUACUGACAGGUAGGAGGACAGAGUCUAAUGGUUACUGACAGGUAGGAGCACAGAGGGGAAACAGUUCCUAAUGGUUACUGACAGGUAGGUGGACAGAGGGGAAACAGUUACUAAUGGAAACGGUUACUAAUGGUUACUGACAGGUAGGUGGACAGAGGGGAAACAGUUACUAAUGGUUACUGACAGGUAGGUGGACAGAGGGGAAACGGUUACUAAUGGUUACUGACAGGUAGGUGGACAGAGGGGAAACAGUUACUCAUGGUUACUGACAGGUAGGUGGACAGAGGGGAAACAGUUACUAAUGGUUACUGACAGGUAGGUGGACAGAGGGGAAACGGUUACUAAUGGUUACUGACAGGUAGGUGGACAGAGGGGAAACAGUUACUAAUGGUUACUGACAGGUAGGUGGACAGUGGGGAAACAGUUACUAAUGGUUACUGACAGGUAGGUGGACAGUGGGGAAACAGUUACUCAUGGUUACUGACAGGUAGGUGGACAGAGGGGAAACAGUUACUAAUGGUUACUGACAGGUAGGUGGACAGUGGGGAAACAGUUACUCAUGGUUACUGACAGGUAGGUGGACAGAGGGGAAACAGUUACUAAUGGUUACUGACAGGUAGGUGGACAGAGGGGAAACGGUUACUAAUGGUUACUGACAGGUAGGUGGACAGAGGGGAAACAGUUACUAAUGGUUACUGACAGGUAGGUGGACAGAGGGGAAACAGUUACUAAUGGUUACUGACAGGUAGGUGGACAGUGGGGAAACAGUUACUAAUGGUUACUGACAGGUAGGUGGACAGAGGGGAAACGGUUACUAAUGGUUACUGACAGGUAGGUGGACAGUGGGGAAACAGUUACUAAUGGUUACUGACAGGUAGGUGGACAGAGGGGAAACGGUUACUAAUGGUUACUGACAGGUAGGUGGACAGUGGGGAAACAGUUACUCAUGGUUACUGACAGGUAGGUGGACAGAGGGGAAACAGUUACUAAUGGUUACUGACAGGUAGGUGGACAGAGGGGAAACGGUUACUAAUGGUUACUGACAGGUAGG